RNAcentral lists this long non-coding RNA (397 nucleotides) under Phasianus colchicus (ring-necked pheasant). Its description in RNAcentral is "lncRNA (ENSPCLG00000001777.1)". Lineage: Eukaryota; Metazoa; Chordata; Aves; Galliformes; Phasianidae. The record is from RNAcentral.
GUGAAAGAGAAAGUUACUGCAUGGUUAAGUGGUUACACUCUCAGAUACAGGUAGAGGCAGCUUAGGAAUGUAAAUAUUUAGCCAAUGUUGAAAAACUUGAAUGAGAGAUUUGGAGAACAACUGUCCCAGAAUAUCCUGAAGUGGAGUAAUCAGGCUUUUCUGGGAGACAAACAUACAUCGGAGUUGCAACCAGCAGGGAGGAGAUUUGGAUGUAAGUUUCUCACAUCACAAUUUAGUUCUGCCAUCUCCAGUCCAACUCUUCUCUCCAGUCCUCCUCAGCAGCGCCCAGUUACAAGGCCUGAAGUGAAUGAGUAGCCCCAGGAAGUGCAGGAUGGGCAAGAGGAGCUCUCCCUGCUCAGCUCAGUUAAAAAGAUUGCACAGGGGCAGAAGUUAUGAA